ACGUCGGCUUCUCGGAGGUUCGUGAUGCCGGAGACCUCGGUCCCGCGGUACGCGUCCUCUGCGUUCCUUUAUGCCCGGCGGCGUCGGCGUGCACUUCUCCCCUAGUAGAACGUCGCGACCCGUUGGGUGUCGGUCUACGGCCCGAGCGGUUGACUGUCUCGUCGCCUCACGGCGCACGGAACAGACCCUCGGUUGCCCGGCCGGCUGCCCGGCGGUACUCGCACGGUAUCGGGCCGCUAAAUUCGAACAGCGUCAGGCCCGCCGCAAGCGCGGUUAGUCUCUCGGUGGUAACGGACCUAGUGCCGUCCCCGGAGCUAACCCGCUGUUGGUCGGCGGUGUCCUCUGACUGGCCAAUUGAAAACGAUACCGGUCGGCGACGCUAUUGCUUUGGGUACUCUCAGGACCCGUCUUGAAACACGGACCAAGGAGUCUAACAUGUGCGCGAGUCAUUGGGACUGCAAAAACCUAAAGGCGAAAUGAAAGUGAAGGUCGGCCUCGCGCCGACCGAGGGAGGAUGGGCCGCGUUACGAUGCGGCUCCGCACUCCCGGGGCGUCUCGUUCUCAUUGCGAGAUGAGGCGCACCCAGAGCGUACACGUUGGGACCCGAAAGAUGGUGAACUAUGCCUGGUCAGGACGAAGUCAGGGGAAACCCUGAUGGAGGUCCGUAGCGAUU
This 673-nucleotide ribosomal RNA is filed under the name Cleptes sp. SNU-HY00106. Its description in RNAcentral is "eukaryotic LSU rRNA". The stretch from base 254 to 673 matches the Rfam family "Eukaryotic large subunit ribosomal RNA", at positions 1 to 885 of the family's 3401-position model. The record is from RNAcentral. Lineage: Eukaryota; Metazoa; Arthropoda; Insecta; Hymenoptera; Chrysididae.